This 496-nucleotide ribosomal RNA is filed under the name uncultured bacterium. RNAcentral's name for it is "bacterial SSU rRNA". It matches the Rfam family "Bacterial small subunit ribosomal RNA", at positions 30 to 504 of the family's 1533-position model. The record is from RNAcentral.
CGAACGUUGGCGGCGUGCUUAACACAUGCAAGUCGAACGAGAAAGUUCCUUCGGGGACGAGUAAAGUGGCGCACGGGUGAGUAACGCGUAGAUAAUCUGUCCAGGUGUUCGGGAUAGCCCUUCGAAAGGGGGAUUAAUACCGAAUACGUCAGUCUUUCAUAAGGAUGACUGAGAAAGGUGGCCUCUAUUUAUAAGCUAUCGCAUUUGGAGGAGUCUGCGUACCAUUAGUUUGUUGGUGGGGUAAUGGCCUACCAAGACUUCGAUGGUUAGCGGGUCUGAGAGGAUGAUCCGUCACACUGGCACUGAAACACGGGCCAGACUCCUACGGGAGGCAGCAGUGAGGAAUAUUGCGCAAUGGGGGAAACCCUGACGCAGCGACGCCGCGUGGGUGAGGAAGGCUUUCGGGUCGUAAAGCCCUGUCAGGUGGGAAGAAAUGGUUAAUGGAUAAUACCUGUUAGCUUUGACGGUACCACCAAAGGAAGCACCGGCUAACUCC